GGAGAGAUGGCAGAGUGGUUAAUUGCGGCGGUCUUGAAAACCGUUGAGGUUUAUUAUUCCUCCGGGGGUUCGAAUCCCUCUCUCUCCGCUA
Molecule: transfer RNA, 91 nt
Filed under: Blattabacterium sp. (Cryptocercus kyebangensis)
Lineage: Bacteria; Pseudomonadati; Bacteroidota; Flavobacteriia; Flavobacteriales; Blattabacteriaceae
Description: tRNA-Ser
Rfam family: tRNA
About the family: Transfer RNA (tRNA) molecules are approximately 80 nucleotides in length. Their secondary structure includes four short double-helical elements and three loops (D, anti-codon, and T loops). Further hydrogen bonds mediate the characteristic L-shaped molecular structure. tRNAs have two regions of fundamental functional importance: the anti-codon, which is responsible for specific mRNA codon recognition, and the 3' end, to which the tRNAs corresponding amino acid is attached (by aminoacyl-tRNA synthetases). tRNAs cope with the degeneracy of the genetic code in two manners: having more than one tRNA (with a specific anti-codon) for a particular amino acid; and 'wobble' base-pairing, i.e. permitting non-standard base-pairing at the 3rd anti-codon position.
Source: RNAcentral